CCUACGGGAGGCAGCAGUGAGGAAUAUUGGUCAAUGGGCGCGAGCCUGAACCAGCCAAGUCGCGUGAGGGAUGAAGGUUCUAUGGAUCGUAAACCUCUUUUAUAAGGGAAUAAAGUGUGGGACGUGUCCCAUUUUGUAUGUACCUUAUGAAUAAAGAUAGGCUAACUCCGUGCCAGCAGCCUCGGUAAUACGGAGGAUCCGAGCGUUAUCCGGAUUUAUUGGGUUUAAAGGGUGCGUAGGCGGCCUUUUAAGUCAGCGGUGAAAGUCUGUGGCUAAACCAUGGAAUUGCCGUUGAAACUGGGGAGUUGGAGUAUGUUUGAGGCAGGCGGAAUGCGUGGUGUAGCGGUGAAAUGCUUAGAUAUCACGCAGAACCCCGAUUGCGAAGGCAGCCUGCCAAGCCAUGACUGACGCUGAUGCACGAAAGCGUGGGGAUCAAACAGGAUUAGAUACCCCUGUAGUC
Molecule: ribosomal RNA, 460 nt
Filed under: uncultured bacterium
Lineage: Bacteria
Description: partial 16S ribosomal RNA
Rfam family: Bacterial small subunit ribosomal RNA
Source: RNAcentral